Molecule: long non-coding RNA, 317 nt
Organism: Myotis brandtii (Brandt's bat)
Lineage: Eukaryota; Metazoa; Chordata; Mammalia; Chiroptera; Vespertilionidae
Exons: 2
Source: RefSeq, a predicted model, not a curated record
CCAGCAGAGAUGUCUUCCCCACGCCACUGUCGCCCACCAGGAUGGUCUGAAGGGAGCAACGGAGAGGCGGGAGCUGCAGUGUGAAGCAGGGCCCACGACCACGCGGACCCCACAUGCAGUGGACUGAUGGGUGCAGGGGAACACGAGCUGAGCCUGCCUGACUCUGAGUUGCACGGCGCGUACACGGCGAGGAAACUCUGGACGCCAGCCGGAUGGAAGCCACAGCCACGCUUCUUCCUUGUGGGACAAAGGGAAAUGAGGCCGUGGAAACUCUGGGAGUUAAUUCCAUGCGAAUAAAAGCCACUCGUUCUCCCAUA